CACUUCCAAGUUGACAAACAUCCUCCAUCGGCAAAGGGGCAAGGCUGAGAUGGUGAACCAGAAUCCUGUACCAUUUCGAGCAGCGUCUGCUGUAGCUCCUCCAAGUCCAGGCUAUAUUGCUUCUCCUGACAUGAUUAAGGUAGGGCGAUUCCCUUCGGGGAUUAGCGGGCCGUCAAACGUGGCGACUAGACAGUUCCUCUAUCCGCUGUUGGGGGAGUGCUCCUUCGGAGCAGCCUCCCUCUAGUACUAAAUCGGAUUCCAGUGGAGAGCGAAGCUUCCUCUACCGCUAUGUAGAGUCAUUUGGAUGAUUAUUGAAGUUAAUAUCACUAUAUUUGCUUUUCUAUUUAUGAUUCGAUGAAUAAAUGGAUUGUAAUAAAAGAAUUAUAAUAAAUAUUUAUGAAUGAUGAAUAAAAUGAUGUUUAUCUAUUUAGUCAUUAAAAGAUUUAAAAGAAAUAAAAAAAAUUCAAGUGACAUUUGCAGUCGUGAAAUUUUUAACACAAUUCAAUCAACAAAUUCAUUUGAUGAUGCUGGCACAAUUUAGCUAUGGAUCAUCAUUCAUGUUGCUAACCGAGUAUAA
Long non-coding RNA from Musa acuminata AAA Group (dessert banana), 577 nucleotides. RefSeq lists it as uncharacterized. NCBI's taxonomy places the organism in Eukaryota, Viridiplantae, Streptophyta, Magnoliopsida, Zingiberales, Musaceae. The record is from RefSeq and is a predicted model, not a curated record. The transcript has 3 exons.